AUGAGACAUCAUACAGCACUCCAGCCAAGGAUGGAGACCACACUUAAUCCUAUGGAAAGCAGUGCGACUAUAUACAUACAAGAGCAAAAUCCACCUGGAAGAAGAAAAAACAAAGUCAAGGUGAAAACAAAAUCUUUCCAACGUCAUUCCUGUGAUGCUGGGUAG
Molecule: long non-coding RNA, 165 nt
Filed under: Phasianus colchicus (ring-necked pheasant)
Lineage: Eukaryota; Metazoa; Chordata; Aves; Galliformes; Phasianidae
Description: lncRNA (ENSPCLG00000001973.1)
Source: RNAcentral